Molecule: ribosomal RNA, 497 nt
Filed under: uncultured bacterium
Lineage: Bacteria
Description: partial 16S ribosomal RNA
Rfam family: Bacterial small subunit ribosomal RNA
Source: RNAcentral
GAUGAACGCUGGCGGCGUGCCUAAUACAUGCAAGUCGAGCGAACGGACGAGAAGCUUGCUUCUCUGAUGUUAGCGGCGGACGGGUGAGUAACACGUGGAUAACCUACCUAUAAGACUGGGAUAACUUCGGGAAACCGUAGCUAAUACCGGAUAAUAUUUUGAACCGCAUGGUUCAAAAGUGAAAGACGGUCUUGCUGUCACUUAUAGAUGGAUCCGCGCUGCAUUAGCUAGUUGGUAAGGUAACGGCUUACCAAGGCAACGAUGCAUAGCCGACCUGAGAGGGUGAUCGGCCACACUGGAACUGACACACGGUCCAGACUCCUACGGGAGGCAGCAGUAGGGAAUCUUCCGCAAUGGGCGAAAGCCUGACGGAGCAACGCCGCGUGAGUGAUGAAGGUCUUCGGAUCGUAAAACUCUGUUAUUAGGGAAGAACAUAUGUGUAAGUAACUGUGCACAUCUUGACGGUACCUAAUCAGAAAGACACGGCUAACUACGUG